RNAcentral lists this ribosomal RNA (510 nucleotides) under angiosperm mycorrhizal host. Its description in RNAcentral is "eukaryotic LSU rRNA". The stretch from base 138 to 293 matches the Rfam family "5.8S ribosomal RNA". The record is from RNAcentral. Lineage: Eukaryota; Viridiplantae; Streptophyta; Magnoliopsida.
CCCUGCGGGCGGGGAGACCUGCCCGCAAACCGAACCCCGGCGCGGAAUGCGCCAAGGAAAUCGAACCAAGAGAGCCACGUUGGAGGCCCCGGACACGGUGUGCCCCCGACGUCGGCGCUUUAAGAAUUAUUCAAAACGACUCUCGGCAACGGAUAUCUAGGCUCUCGCAUCGAUGAAGAACGUAGCGAAAUGCGAUACUUGGUGUGAAUUGCAGAAUCCCGCGAAUCAUCGAGUUUUUGAACGCAAGUUGCGCCCGAAGCCAUUCGGCCGAGGGCACGUCUGCCUGGGUGUCACGCAUCGUUGCCCCCCCAAACUCCGGUUCGGGCGGGGCGGAAGUUGGCCUCCCGUGCGUGCCUGCGCGCGCGGUUAGCCCAAAAGCGAGUCCUCGGCGACGAUCGCCACGACAAUCGGUGGUUUUCUUGCCCUCGUUCCUCGUCGUGCGUGCCUCGUCGCUCGAACGCGRUYCUUGACCCUCACGCGUCGUCGCCUCGGCGGCGCUCCCAACGCGAC